GUGAGUAACACGUGGAUAACCUGCCCUCGGCACCGGGAUAGCCCGGGGAAACCCGGAUUAAUACCGGAUCGCCCUUCCGACCUUCGGGUCGGUCGGAAAAGGUAGCUUCGGCCUCCGGCCGAGGAUGGGUCCGCGGCGGAUUAGCUUGUUGGUGGGGUAACGGCCUACCAAGGCGACGAUCCGUAGCUGGUCUGAGAGGACGAUCAGCCACACUGGGACUGAGACACGGCCCAGACUCCUACGGGAGGCAGCAGUGGGGAAUCUUGCCCAAUGGGCGCAAGCCUGAGGCAGCGACGCCGCGUGAGGGAAGAAGGCCUUCGGGUUGUAAACCUCUUUCAGGAGGGACGAAGCCACUCGGGUUAAUAGCCCAGAGGGUGACGGUACCUCCAGAAGAAGCCCCGGCUAACUACGUGCCAGCAGCCGCGGUAAUACGUAGGGGGCAAGCGUUGUCCGGAUUUACUGGGCGUAAAGAGCGUGUAGGCGGCCAGGCAGGUCUGUUGUGAAAACUGGAGGCUCAACCUCCAGACGUCGACAGAAACCGCCUGGCUAGAGUCCGGAAGAGGAGAGUGGAAUUCCUGGUGUAGCGGUGAAAUGCGCAGAUAUCAGGAAGAACACCAAUGGCGAAGGCAGCUCUCUGGGACGGUACUGACGCUGAGACGCGAAAGCGUGGGGAGCGAACAGGAUUAGAUACCCUGGUAGUCCACGCCGUAAACGAUGGGUGCUAGGUGUGGGAGGUGUCGACUCCUCCCGUGCCGCAGCUAACGCAUUAAGCACCCCGCCUGGGGAGUACGGCCGCAAGGCUAAAACUCAAAGGAAUUGACGGGGGCCCGCACAAGCAGCGGAGCAUGUGGUUUAAUUCGAUGCAACGCGAAGAACCUUACCAGGGCUGACAUGCACUGGAAAUCCGUAGAAAUACGGCCCUCCUUCGGGACCAGUGCACAGGUGGUGCAUGGCUGUCGUCAGCUCG
This 967-nucleotide ribosomal RNA is filed under the name uncultured bacterium. RNAcentral describes it as "bacterial SSU rRNA". It matches the Rfam family "Bacterial small subunit ribosomal RNA", at positions 106 to 1062 of the family's 1533-position model. The record is from RNAcentral.